RNAcentral lists this ribosomal RNA (490 nucleotides) under uncultured Pseudomonadota bacterium. Its description in RNAcentral is "bacterial SSU rRNA". It matches the Rfam family "Bacterial small subunit ribosomal RNA", at positions 355 to 842 of the family's 1533-position model. Lineage: Bacteria; Pseudomonadati; Pseudomonadota. The record is from RNAcentral.
UGGGGAAUUUUGGACAAUGGGCGCAAGCCUGAUCCAGCCAUGCCGCGUGAGUGAAGAAGGCCUUCGGGUUGUAAAGCUCUUUCGGCGGGGACGAAACGGUUCAUGCCAACACCAUGGACUAAUGACGGUACUCGCAGAAGAAGCACCGGCUAACUACGUGCCAGCAGCCGCGGUAAUACGUAGGGUGCAGGCGUUAAUCGGAAUUACUGGGCGUAAAGCGUGCGCAGGCGGCUCCUUAAGUCAGAUGUGAAAUCCCCGGGCUUAACCUGGGAACUGCGUUUGAUACUAAGGAGCUUGAGUGUGGAAGAGGGGGUGGAAUUCCAGGUGUAGCAGUGAAAUGCGUAGAGAUCUGGAGGAACACCGAUGGCGAAGGCAGCCCCCUGGGCUAACGACUGACGCUCAUGCACGAAAGCGUGGGGAGCAAACAGGAUUAGAUACCCUGGUAGUCCACGCCCUAAACGAUGUCAACUAGUGUUAGGAAGCAAUUCCU